GGGCUGGCCCCGUGGCCGAGUGGUUAAGUUCGCGCGCUCCGCUGCAGGCGGCCCAGUGUUUCGUUGGUUCGAAUCCUGGGCGCGGACAUGGCACUGCUCAUCAAACCACGCUGAGGCAGCGUCCCACAUGCCACAACUAGAAGGACCCACAACGAAGAAUAUACAACUAUGUACCGGGGGGCUUUGGGGAGAAAAAGGAAAAAAUAAAAAAAUCUUUAAAAAAAAAAAAAUUAAAUUCUCUGUAUUGUUUGCUAUGGGUUUUGAGCAGGACAAGAUACAUGAAUUUUACUUAGGGACAAGCUGAAAUGUCACCCUUUUGUCAACUGAUGGGAACAUUCUCAAUCCUUUCUUUCCUAGCAAGAACAUGUGUCAUAAUCAAGUUCCAAGUACUCACUCUUAGUACUAGAAUGUUCAUAACUCUAAUAGAAUGUGAUAGGCUGAAAAAUAAACCCCCAAAAGAUAUCCAUGUCAAAUCUCUGGAACUUGUGAAUAUUAACUUAUUUGGGAAAAGGGUCUUUGAAGAGGUGUUUAAGUUAUAGAUCUUGAGAUGAGGAGAUCCAAGAUUAUCCAGGCGAGUCUUAAAUGCUAUCAUGUGUCCUUAUAAAAGAUCAACAGAAAGAGAUUUGACACACACAGAAGACCAUGAGGUAAUGUGGUCAUGGAUGCAGAGAAUGGAGUGAUGGGCCACAAGUCAAGAAAUGCCAGGAGCCACCAGAAACUGGAAGAAAUAAGGAACAGGCUGACCACAGGCGAGAAACAUACCUACAACGUAUCCAUUACAGCUGACGGAAGAAUGGAACAAUAUGCUGCCUGGAGCCUAUCACUCCUGGAGACCCACAUCCUUGGACCCCUCCUCAUGCCCAUUUUCCCUAUUAACUACCUCAAGAUUCUGUAAUUCUUGAGGACCGUGGAAAACUUGUGGAGGAGCUCAGAAAUAACUCCGAGCUACAUAGAAAAAAAAAGAGAAAUGCAAUCAGACUUUAUAACAUGGGAUGUUUAUGCAG
RNAcentral lists this long non-coding RNA (1004 nucleotides) under Equus asinus (donkey). RNAcentral's name for it is "lncRNA (ENSEASG00005029276.1)". The record is from RNAcentral. Lineage: Eukaryota; Metazoa; Chordata; Mammalia; Perissodactyla; Equidae.